AUACUAGCAACUGCCGAAGACAGUAGGUGCUGAAAAGCGUAAGUAGUAAACGCCUACCGAGGAAGAAUGAAUUUUUACAUGAGUAUGAAUUUGUAAAUCUUCGCGUCUUUGGAUGCGGAGUUUUUUUAGUUU
Molecule: small RNA, 132 nt
Filed under: uncultured Mediterraneibacter sp.
Lineage: Bacteria; Bacillati; Bacillota; Clostridia; Lachnospirales; Lachnospiraceae
Description: Ribosomal protein L10 leader
Rfam family: Ribosomal protein L10 leader
About the family: This family is a putative r-protein leader autoregulatory structure found in B. subtilis and other low-GC Gram-positive bacteria. It is located in the 5' untranslated regions of mRNAs encoding ribosomal proteins L10 and L12 (rplJ-rplL). A Rho-independent transcription terminator structure that is probably involved in regulation is included at the 3' end.
Source: RNAcentral